ACGCUCGACACCUACGUGAGGCAGCAGUGGGGAAUAUUGCACAAUGGGGGAAACCCUGAUGCAGCGACGCCGCGUGAGCGAAGAAGUAUUUCGGUAUGUAAAGCUCUAUCAGCAGAGAAGAAAAUGACGGUACCUGACUAAGAAGCCCCGGCUAACUACGUGCCAGCAGCCGCGGUAAUCUGAGCGGGCUGGCAAGGC
This 198-nucleotide ribosomal RNA is filed under the name uncultured bacterium. RNAcentral's name for it is "partial 16S ribosomal RNA". It matches the Rfam family "Bacterial small subunit ribosomal RNA", at positions 328 to 539 of the family's 1533-position model. The record is from RNAcentral.